GGUGAAGCUAGUGUCUGUCUGUGUGUGUUACCUCCGGGCACGCUGUACCAGGCCUCUCCGUAGGUGAAGCUAGUGUCCGUAGGUGAAGCUAGUGUCUGUCUGUGUGUUUUACCUCCGGGCACGCUGUACCAGGCCCCUCCAUUGGUGAAGCUAGUGUCCGUAGGUGAAGCUAGUGUCUGUCUGUGUGUUUUACCUCCGGGCACGCUGUACCAGGCCUCUCCCUAGGUGAAGCUAGUGUCUGUCUGUGUGUUUUACCUCCGGGCACGCUGUACCAGGCCCCUCCAUUGGUGAAGCUAGUGUCCGUAGGUGAAGCUAGUGUCUGUCUGUGUGUUUUACCUCCGGGCACGCUGUACCAGGCCCCUCCAUUGGUGAAGCUAGUGUC
Salmo salar (Atlantic salmon) is the source of this 382-nucleotide non-coding RNA. NCBI's taxonomy places the organism in Eukaryota, Metazoa, Chordata, Actinopteri, Salmoniformes, Salmonidae. The record is from RefSeq and is a predicted model, not a curated record.